AACGAACGCUGGCGGCAUGCCUAACACAUGCAAGUCGAACGAGACCUUCGGGUCUAGUGGCGCACGGGUGCGUAACGCGUGGGAACCUGCCCUUAGGUUCGGAAUAACUCUCCGAAAGGGGUGCUAAUACCGGAUAAUGUCUUCGGACCAAGGAUUUAUCGCCUUUGGAUGGGCCCGCGUUGGAUUAGCUAGUUGGUAGGGUAAAAGCCUACCAAGGCGACGAUCCAUAGCUGGUCUGAGAGGAUGAUCAGCCACACUGGGACUGAGACACGGCCCAGACUCCUACGGGAGGCAGCAGUGGGGAAUAUUGGACAAUGGGCGAAAGCCUGAUCCAGCAAUGCCGCGUGAGUGAUGAAGGCCUUAGGGUUGUAAAGCUCUUUUAACCGGGAUGAUAAUGACAGUACCGGGAGAAUAAGCUCCGGCUAACUCCGUG
Molecule: ribosomal RNA, 433 nt
Filed under: uncultured bacterium
Lineage: Bacteria
Description: partial 16S ribosomal RNA
Rfam family: Bacterial small subunit ribosomal RNA
Source: RNAcentral